This 253-nucleotide ribosomal RNA is filed under the name uncultured bacterium. RNAcentral's name for it is "partial 16S ribosomal RNA". It matches the Rfam family "Bacterial small subunit ribosomal RNA", at positions 524 to 776 of the family's 1533-position model. The record is from RNAcentral.
UACGUAGGGGGCAAGCGUUGUCCGGAUUUAUUGGGCGUAAAGAGCGUGUAGGCGGCCAGACAAGUCUGAUGUGAAAGCCCGGGGCUCACCCCCGGAAGUGCAUUGGAAACUGGCGGACUCGAGUCCCGGAGAGGAGAGUGGAAUUCCUGGUGUAGCGGUGAAAUGCGUAGAUAUCAGGAGGAACACCCGUGGCGAAGGCGGCUCUCUGGGACGGUACUGACGCUGAGACGCGAAAGCGUGGGGAGCGAACAGG